RNAcentral lists this ribosomal RNA (459 nucleotides) under uncultured bacterium. RNAcentral describes it as "partial 16S ribosomal RNA". It matches the Rfam family "Bacterial small subunit ribosomal RNA", at positions 338 to 795 of the family's 1533-position model. The record is from RNAcentral.
CCUACGGGAGGCAGCAGUGAGGAAUAUUGGUCAAUGGGCGAGAGCCUGAACCAGCCAAGUCGCGUGAGGGAAGACGGUCCUAUGGAUUGUAAACCUCUUUUGCCGGGGAGCAAAAAGCGGUACGUGUACCGCAUCGCGAGUACCCGGAGAAAAAGCAUCGGCUAACUCCGUGCCAGCAGCCGCGGUAAUACGGAGGAUGCGAGCGUUAUCCGGAUUUAUUGGGUUUAAAGGGUGCGUAGGCGGAUUUUUAAGUCAGCGGUAAAAUGUCCGGGCUCAACCCGGGCCGGCCGUUGAAACUGGGGAUCUUGAGUGGGCGAGAAGUAUGCGGAAUGCGUGGUGUAGCGGUGAAAGGCAUAGAUAUCACGCAGAACUCCGAUUGCGAAGGCAGCAUACCGGCGCCCGACUGACGCUGAGGCACGAAAGCGUGGGGAUCGAACAGGAUUAGAUACCCCUGUAGUC